AGAGUUUGAUCCUGGCUCAGGAUGAACGCUAGCGGCAGGCUUAACACAUGCAAGUCGAGGGGUAAGGUUCUGCUUGCAGAACACACGACCGGCGCACGGGUGCGUAACGCGUAUGCAACCUACCUUUAACUGGGGAAUAGCUCUCGGAAACGGGAAUUAAUACCCCAUAACAUUUCAAAAUCGCAUGGUUUUGAGAUUAAAGCUCCGGCGGUUAAAGAUGGGCAUGCGUGACAUUAGCUUGUUGGUGAGGUAAUAGCUCACCAAGGCUACGAUGUCUAGGGGGUCUGAGAGGAUGAUCCCCCACACUGGUACUGAGACACGGACCAGACUCCUACGGGAGGCAGCAGUGAGGAAUAUUGGGCAAUGGACGCAAGUCUGACCCAGCCAUGCCGCGUGCAGGAUGAAUGCCCUAUGGGUUGUAAACUGCUUUUAUUUGGGAAGAAACCCACGCUCGUGAGCGUGGCUGACGGUACCAAAAGAAUAAGCAUCGGCUAACUCCGUGCCAGCAGCCGCGGUAAUACGGAGGA
RNAcentral lists this ribosomal RNA (527 nucleotides) under uncultured bacterium. RNAcentral describes it as "bacterial SSU rRNA". It matches the Rfam family "Bacterial small subunit ribosomal RNA", at positions 8 to 532 of the family's 1533-position model. The record is from RNAcentral.